AAGAGAUUAUUGAUCAAUUUUGUAGAUUUUUUUUUUCAUUUGAUUCAAUAGUUGGGAGAUAGUUGAAAAAUGUGCGAGCAAAAGGAAGAAAUUUGUGAGCUAGAAACCUUGUGCUUGCUCUAGCUAUUGAGGAGAAGCCCCAAACCCAGAUCUCUCACCCCAUAACAAGGAGUUUUAGUGCUCAAUUAUUGACAAAUGCACAAGCAGCACCUGAGAAGAAAAGUAAGAAACCGCUAGGAAAAGUUGUCAACGGAGUUGUGGGGAACGAAGGCGCUCCAAAAGUUAAGCUAAGAAUAAUGAAUUUGUAAAACUAAAGAAGGAAGAUGUAAUUGUCAUUAGUGCUGUUGACGACGAGAAAAGCUAGAGGAGUACAAGAGAAUCAUCAAAGAAGACAGGAAAGACUCUAACUGUUGAAGUCAAUUCCGAAGCCACAGUGUAAAGUUUAAUGUACUCUUAGCGUAAAAUUAGGAAAGGGUGAAGGGGAACUUGUCCAUCAAAUGAUUGAAUAUAAGUUACUACUUGCUCAUC
Molecule: long non-coding RNA, 528 nt
Organism: Olea europaea var. sylvestris
Lineage: Eukaryota; Viridiplantae; Streptophyta; Magnoliopsida; Lamiales; Oleaceae
Exons: 3
Source: RefSeq, a predicted model, not a curated record